UACGGAGGAUGCGAGCGUUAUCCGGAUUUAUUGGGUUUAAAGGGUGCGUAGGCGGGCUUUUAGGUCAGCGGUAAAAAUUCGGGGCUCAACCCCGUCCGGCCGUUGAAGCUGGGGGCCUUGAGUGGGCGAGAAGAAGGCGGAAUGCGUGGUGUAGCGGUGAAAUGCAUAGAUAUCACGCAGAACCCCGAUUGCGAAGGCAGCCUUCCGGCGCCCUACUGACGCUGAGGCACGAAAGUGCGGGGAUCGAACAGG
Molecule: ribosomal RNA, 252 nt
Filed under: uncultured bacterium
Lineage: Bacteria
Description: partial 16S ribosomal RNA
Rfam family: Bacterial small subunit ribosomal RNA
Source: RNAcentral